UGGUCAGAACAACCAGGGCCUCUUCGGUGGCUCCGCCGGUCUCAUCGGCCUCGGCCGCCACCCCAUCUCUUUCGUCCAACAAACCGCCUCAAAGUAUGGCAAGAUCUUCUCCUACUGCCUCCCUUCCACCUCUAGCUCCACCGGCCACCUCACCUUCGGCCGCGCCACCUCCCGCCACCUUCUCUACACCCCCUUCUCCACCAUUUCCCGUAGCUCCUCCUUCUAUGGUCUCGACAUCGCUUCCAUCGCUGUCUCUGGUGCCAAACUCUCUCUCACUCCCGCCCUCUUUUCCACUGGCGGCGCCAUCAUCGACUCCGGCACCGUCAUUACACGCCUCCCUCCCACUGCCUACGCCGCUCUCCGCUCCGCCUUCCGCCAGGGCAUGUCCAAGUACCCCUCUGCGGCUGAGCUCUCCAUACUCGACACGUGUUACGAUCUCAGCGCGAAUAAGGUGAUUUCCAUUCCCAAGGUAAAUUUUGUGUUUAGUGGCUCUGUCACCGUGGAGUUGCAGCCGCAAGGCAUACUCUAUGUGGCCAGUGCAAAGCAAGUUUGUUUGGCUUUUGCUGCAAAUGGUGAUGACAGUGAUAUCACCAUUUUUGGAAACGUGCAACAGAGAACCCUAGAGGUUGUGUAUGAUCUUGGAGGUGGCAAGAUAGGGUUUGGUGCUGGUGGGUGCAAGUGAAAAGACUCUUAUUUUUCACUUACAUUGCUUCAAAUUUCAAAUUAGGUUCUUCAGAUCCAACAUUUGGAUAACCUGAUUAAAAAAAGUGUAAGUUGAUAUUGUUGGAGUGCAAAUCUCUCUUUUCAACCUACAUUUUUAAAAAAAAAAUUAUAUUAGGUUAUUCCCAUAGAAUGUUUCAUAGGGUGGAUUAACCUAAUAAAAAAGUGUGGGUUGAUAUUGUUGGGGUAGAAGAAGAAAACAAAAGUGAAAGUAAGUUAAUUAUUUAACUAAACAUGUUUUGAGCUAGUUAGGGAGAAAGAAAUCCUAGUUGGCUCUAGCUUUUAUGAUUGUUAAUUAUGAUUAGUGUUCUUAUAAUGAUAGAGAAAAGGGAAAACAAAAAUAGUGUGGGGAUGUUACUCAUUGAAGAUGCAAAAUAAUGUGUAACAAGUAGAGGAAAGGAAGGCGUUACAUAUAGGUCAUGGGUAAGGUGAAAAAAAGUGUAAACUUGUUCUUGCUAUUAAUUAAAAGUUUGUUGAAUAAAGAGAAAAUGUCCUUUGUUUUGUUAUUUAGUUUGAUCGUGCUAGAAUAUAGUUUGAGAUAAUUAAUCUUUAGGAUGCUAUUUUUUAUUCUUUUAAUUCAUAUGACAAUGUGUAUCAAUGAAAAUAUGGAACUUAGUGAUAGAUAUCAAUUUCACUCUUUAGAAUGAUAAGAUAAACUUCAGAAAGAACUUAAUUGAUCAAAAUUUAAACAACAUAUAUAACAAGGUUUUUGUUGGUUACAUUUAAUUUAAAUUUUUUAAUGAAUAGUCAGUAUUUUACUUUAUUCUCUAAAGUGAAUAAUUUUAUAGUCAUUUAGAAGUUUCAAAAUCCAUACCAUGUUUAAUAUAUAUAUAUAUAUAUAUAUAUAUAUAUAUAUAUAACCCUUAAUAUUGAUUAUUAGAAGUUUUCAACACCUAUCCCAUAAAGUUUACCUUGAGGCUUUUAGAACUCAAAACCAAACCUUAACAAAACAUAACUAAAAGUUUAAGAGGGUUAAGAGAUGCGUAUUGUGCAAAAGCUUUUUUCUUAUAACUCACCCACGAGCAUAAAUGAUUGCACAUUGUAAUUAAAAGAAAUAAGCGAAUCAAAUAUCAUCAUUAAAUAAAUUAUUUAACCCUUUUCCAUCAUUUAUUAUUUAAUUUAAUUAAGAAUCCUUUUUAAUAAAAGGUUGAAUCAAAUUCUUCAAUAUAAAAAUACAAUAAUGUAAACUCUUUUAAGAUUCAUUCAAGUGCCUUCAUUUUUUUUAAAAGGAAGCAAUGUAACUUUUAUAUGAUAAAAUUGAUGUCAUUAGAUUUAUAAAUUAUCUAUAUCAUUCAUAUAUUAAAAUUGUCAAUAUUUAUUUAUUAAGGAUUUCAUUGCUAAUUAAAAAAAAUAUGUGUUUUUAAUUAAGACAAUUGGUUAAAACUCGUGAAACUAAUAAUACAUAUAUAAUUUAGAAUUAAAAAGUUAAUUAAACCUUUAGGAAAGAUGAUGAGGCAAGAGAAUAAGAGUUUGCCAAGGCUGGGAUUUUAAAGCUUUCCAAAGUUUAAUCAUUGGACUUUGGAUUGCAAUAUAUCGAUCUCACGGUUGUUUCUUAUUGUACAUCCAUACUCCUGAUACCUUAUAGGUCAACUGAAAAUAACAUUUUUUUUUCUUAAAAAUUUAUAUUUUUUAUUAUAAAAUUUAAAAAUAUCUUUCAAAUUUUAUAAUUUAAAAUGAAUUUUUUUAAGGUAUUUAUGAAUCUAUCUGAAAUACCUUCCGCAUUCUAUAAUAAAAAUAUAUAUUUUGGAUUAUAAUCCGUAAGAUAUUUCUCUUUUUAAUUUACAUGUUUUAAAUUGUAUAAUUCAGAAAUUGUUUCUGAAUUCAUAAGUACUUUCUAAAUUCUACCAUCUAAAAUAUAUAUAUUUUUUUUAAAAACUACAUUUAGGAUCACCAUUUUUAAAAUAAAAAACACUAAUAUAAUAAAGGGUAAUUUUGGUAUUUUAAGAAGUAAGGGUGCCAGAAGUAGCUAUGGACGUGCAGGAAGAAACAACCCAAUAUCACUUUUGAAUUUGGGCCACUACACAGGGAUAACUAUUGGAACCACAAUAUAAUUACUCAAACCCCACCUCUUUUUAUAAAUGAUUUUGUUGAUGUUGGACACUUGUAUAACACAAUAUAAAUAAAAGUAUUGAGCUUAGCUUCAUCCCAAAAUUUUACAUCCCCCAUGUCUUUUAAUUCCACACCACCAUCAUCAUCCUCUCUGCUACAUGAUAAAAGUCCAUAUAUCUUACCCAGAGAACCCAAAUUUGAGUCUCAAUACUUUCUCUUUAAUAGUUGGAAAACUUAAAUUACCAUAACGAAGAAGAGAGAUUGAAAUUUUAGAGAGAAAAAGGAGAAAAUAAAAAAAUAAAAAAAAUAAAAAGGAAAGAGAAGAACUAUAAGGAUUGAGGUUACAUUAGAUUGAAUUUAAUUGGGGCAAAAAGGGUGACAGAGGAGGAGAGAAAGAAGAAAUGGAGAAUGAAUGUGAAUAGUAUGAGAGGGGUACUUAGUUUGCUUGACUUUAUGGGAGGAGAAAAACAAGAGUAAUGACUUGGUUUGCUAAGCUACUCACUCAAUGACACAUACAUUAUUUGAAUUUUCCACUGGUUAGCUCCACAGUCGACCCAUACUUGCAUUUGCAUUAUGCCCUUCAAUCAAAUAAUUUAGUUAUCCCUACGAACUUUAUCAAAUUCUAAUUUUAAUUAUUUUAAUAAUAAUGUAUAAAGCUUCAUGAGAUGAAUUCAUUGUCCAUCACAAUUUGUGUUGUGGUCCCUAACACAAUCAAUGCAAAACUGAGAUUGAAGAAACGUCUUGAGGGAGAUUGUUGUAGGUGUUGUAGCCUUAAUCCAAUCGGUGCAAAAGAGAGCCUGUGUAGAGGAUUAAAGCGCUUGCACUUUGGAUAAAAAAGGAGCUGCAAUAUCAACACUGUAAGGAAAUCAGAAUGAACAGAAAAUGGGUCUUGAUGAACCCUAAGUCUAAAGGUGCAUAAGAAGAAGAUAAGCUGUUAAACAGAAACGAAGGUAAGGUGAAAAAAAUAUUAUUUACUUCAGUAAAUGUCAUGUAAUUACAGGGGUACACUUAUAGAAAAAGGGGGCCUGGGCCAAAGACAUGGGCCAAGGAAAAUAAACUAAUCCUAACAACCCAAACCAAAAUAACUACCUACCUACUUUAUCACCCCCCCUCAAGCUGGGAGUAAAUAUUUUUCAUUCCCAGCUUGGAUUUAAGUUGAGUAAACAGAGCUAGUGCAAGAGGUUUUGUGAAUAUGUCGGCUAUUUGUAGAGAAGAUGAAAUUGGAAGGAGUUUGAGGAGCCCAGUAGUGACCUUUUCUCUGACAAUAUGACAGUCGAUUGCAAUGUGCUUGGUACGCUCAUGAAAGACUGGAUUGGAAGCGAUUUGGAUAGCAGAUUGGUUGUCACAAAAGAGAGUCGCUGGUUGAGUGUAUGGAAUUCCAAGAUUUUGAAGAAGAAAGGUAAGCCAUUGUAACUCACAGGUGGUAGUGGCAAGAGCCCUGUACUUAGCCUCGGAUGAGCUCUUGGAGAUAGUCUGUUGUUUCUUCGAUUUCCACGAAAUGAGAGACUCUCCCAGAAAAAUGGAGAAGCCAGUUACGGAUUUUCUGGUGUCAGGACAGGUAGCCCAGUCUGAAUCACUGUAGGCACGUAGAUGUAUGGGGCUGUUGCGGUGAAGGAAGAUACCAGAACCCGGAUUGCCUUUGAGGUAGUGGAGAACACGAAAAACAGCUUGUUGAUGAGCUUUAGUUGGAGAUGAGAGAAACUGGCUGAGGUUGUUUACACUGAAAGUGAUGUCUGGUCUUGUGUUGGUAAGAUAAAUAAGUUUGCCAAUCAGACGACGAUAUUGGAAGAGUCUUUCUCAGAAAGGAGAGUGCCUUCAGAAGAUUGCAGUCGAGAGGAGUGGAUCAUUGGAGUAGGCACUGAAGCAGAAUCUAACAUUCAUGUCUCAUGGAGAAGAUCUAGAACAUACUUUCGUUGGCUGAGAUGUAAACCACUGCUGUUUCGAGCAACCUCAAGUCCUAGGAAGUACGUGAGAUCUCCAAGGUUCUUGAUCUUGAAUUGUUGAUGUAGUGUGGUAGUAAUGUGAUUGAUUUCCUCGAUAUUGUUUCCAGUAAGUACAAGAUCAUCAACAUAGACAAGGAUAGCAGUUAGUUUGUUUGUAUCUCGCUUCAAAAAAAGGGAAUGAUCAGCAGAAGAUAAGAUAUAGUUAUGAGAAAUGAGAAAAAAGGAUAACUUAGCAUACCACUAUCUUCCAGCUUGGCGAAGUCCAUAAAGAGAUCGCUAAAGUUUGCAAACAUGUUGAGAUGUAGGGACAGACAAGCCAGGAGGUGGUUGCAUAUAAACUUCUUCGUGUAGAUCGCCAUGUAAAAAGGCGUUGUUGACAUCUAGUUGCUUUAAGUACCAGUCAUUAGCAGUGGCAACCGCAAGCAAGAGUCGUAAGGUAGUGAGCUUGGCGACAGGAGCGAAUGUAUCGAGAAAAUCAAGACCUUCGAGUUGCGUGUAACCCUUGGCCACUAAGCGUGCCUUGUAGCGAUCAAGAGUGCCAUCAGAUUUGUGUUUGAUUUUGUAGACCCAUCUACAACCUAUUGUUGUUUUCCCUUCGGGAAGAGGAAUGAGCUGCCAGGUAUGAUUGGUAGUAAGAGCAUCAAGUUCUUCUUGCAUCGCUCGCUGCCAACAGUCGUGCUUGGAGGCCUCAUUAUAAUUGCGAGGCUCCGUGUGUGAGGAUAUAGAAAGAAUAGUGUUUUUAAAAGCAGAUGAUAAAGUUGAGUAAGAAAGAAACUUGUGAAUAGGGUAUUUGGAACUUACAUUGCUUGCACUUGGUAUUUGAGUGUGGAAGUCCUCUAAGUAUGUGGGUGGUCUUCGUGGUCUAUAAGACCGUCGAGGUGGUGUUCCAGGUAUGGUUGGAAUCAGAGAAUUAUCCUCAUGUGGAGUAGUAUCUUCAUGUGGAGCAGUAUCCUCACGUAAAACAGUAUCCUCAGAUGAAGUAUUUUCAGAUUCAAAAAUAAGAUCACAAUUUGUAUCAUAAUUCGAAGGUAUAGGUAAAGACAAACUAUUGGGACUGUUAUUUUUAUCAUUUUUUGACAUAUAUGGAAAAUGAUUUUCGUAAAAGACUAUGUGCCUUGAGAUCUCAAUACGAUGAUAUUUUAGAUUUAAGAAAAUCUAUCCCUUUGUAUGAGCUGGAAAUCCAAGAAAAAUGCCAUGCACAGACCUAUCAUCUAACUUUUUUCUAGUGCAGUAAGUGUGCUAGAAUAACAGAGGCAUCCAAAAACACGUAAAUUAGAUAUAUCACAGGGUUUAUCAUGUAGUUUCUCAUAUGGAGCAAUGUUUUGCAGCAAUGGAGUAGGAGUACAGUUAAUAAGAUAAGUAACAUGUUGAACAGCAAAAUCCCAAAAAAGAGAAGGUAAAUUAGCUUGAAAGAUUAAAGCACGAGUGAUAAUGCAUGUUAUUUGAUGAAUAAUUCCUUUGGAGGAAAAGAAAUCUUUCAUAGAAAAUUCAGGGCCAUUGUCCGUACGAAUGAUUUUAGCAGUAGUAUGAAAAUGAUUUUCAAUGUAGGCAAUAAAACUAACAAUCUUUUGUCUAACUUCGGAUUUUGCAUGUAAGAAAAAAAUCCAAGUAUAACGAGAAAAGUCAUCUACAACAGUAAAAAAAUAUCUGAAACCUUGCAUAGAAUUUAUAGAACAAGGACCCCAAAUGUCCAUGUGUAUAAGAUCAAAAACAGCUGCAGUUUUCGAAGUGCUUAAAGUAAAAGGAAGUUUCUUUUGUUUGGCACGAUUGCAAAUAUCACACAAAUGUAUUUUUUCAGAAGAAAUAAAAGGAUAUUGAGUUCUCAACACACGUAAUCUUUCAUUAGAAAGAUGUCCCAGUCUAUAGUGCCACAAAUUAAAGUCCUUAGAAAUGUUAUGAACAGAAGGAACAGUGUUAAGUGUGGCAGAAAAAGGAAAAAUGGCAGAAUUAAACAUGUACAAGCCAGCUUUGGCACUAACUAAACCAAUCUUCUCUUGAGUUAUGUUGUCCUGUAUAAUACAGUGGGUAGAGAAAAAGAUCAAAUGGAAGUUCAAAUGCAAACAUAGUUUGGAAGUAGAAAUCAAAUUGAAAGAAAAUUGAGGUACAUACAAAACAUCUUUAAGAAAGAAUUUUUUAUUGAAAGUGACAGUUCCAGAAUAUUCAGCAUACAUAUGAUUUCCAUUGGGUAAGUUAAUAAGAAUAGGUUUAAUUUUCCUAUAAGCAGUAAAAGCUAAUAAAACAGUGCAUACAUGAUCUGUUGCUCCAGAGUCAAGAAUCCAGAAAUUUUCAGUUUUAAUUGCAGAAUUUAAAAUGGUAUUACCCGUUGAAGAUUGCUAAAAAAACUUUGUGAUUUGGAUCUGCAGAGAAGGAUCCCACUUGAUUUAUUUGGGCAGCAGCACUGUUGCCAUUUUGUUUGAACAUCUCAGAUAAGAUUUGAUACUAUUGAGUUGUAAAAGGACUGUCUUUGUGUUCCUGCUCUUUUGCACAAUGCUCAGAAAAACUAUCAUCAACAGCAGCAACUAUCACAUUAUUAGCUUGGUUAUUUUGACCAUUACCAUAAAACCUAUAUCCAGCAGGAUAACCAUGUUUCCUGUAGCAAGAUUCAAUGGUAUGACCACUUCUAUUACAAUAGGUACAAUGUUUUCUAUUUCCACUGUUUUUUAGGGUUCUAUUAUCUUGACUGGGAAAACCAAUUUUUCUAAAACAUGUAUUCUCAGAAUGUCCAAAUUUACCACAGAAGGUACAAACAGCAGAAGUAUUCACAUGUUUAGUGUUAGCACUAUUGAUAUUCGAAACAGAAUAACUGCUAGCUAAUUCUUGUUGAACCAUAAGGGAGAAAAUUUUCGUUAUAGGGGGAACAGGAUCCAUCAGCAAGACAUGAGAUCGAAUGUUGUAAUAUUGAUCAUUUAGACCCCUAAGAAACUGCAUAGCUUGAUCCUCACAUUUUAUUUGACAUAUGAUAGCAGCGGCGACACCAACGGUGUGGCUGGAUUUUCGCUAGGAUGCAGGUACAGGUAACUUCCGGCUGAUGGGGUCGACUGUUCCGUUUGAGUGGAAGUGGAAGGGGUUUUAUUUUGUUCUUCCGCCAUAUCUGUAAGGAAAAACAAUGAGGAAAAGGAGAACAGAAAGGCGUGAAUCAGGAACCAAUUGUGAAAGAAAAAGUGCAAGAACAAGAGAUUGAAACAAGAAAAUCAGAGUUACACAGCAGAGCUCUACAAUCGAAGAGCUCCGAUACCAUAACACAAUCAAUGCAAAACUGAGAUUGAAGAAAUGCCUUGAGGGAGAUUGUUGUAGGCAUUGUAGCCUUAAUCCAAUCGGUGCAAAAGAGAACCUGUGUAGAGGAUUAAAGCGCUUGCACUUUGGAUAAAAAAGGAGCUGCAAUAUCAACACUGUAAGGAAACCAGAAUGAACAGAAAAUGGGUCUUGAUGAACCCUAAGUCUAAAGGUGCAUAAGAAGAAGAUAAGUUGUUAAACAGAAACGAAGGUAAGGUGAAAAAAUAUUAUUUACUUCAGUAAAUGUCAUGUAAUUAUAGGGGUACACUUAUAGAAAAAGGGGGCCUGGGCCAAAGACAUGGGCCAAGAAAAAUAAACUAAUCCUAACAACCCAAACCAAAAUAACUACCUACCUACUUUAUCUGUCCCAUCGACCAUUCAUAGUUGCAAUUGAUUAGAAAACAGUGUAUUCAUGUGGGUCCUGUCCCACUUUGUAAUUGCCUAACUCCCACUCUCCAUGAAUUUACAAAAUACAUGCCUUAAGAUAAUCACAAUAAUAAGAAAUGGGAAUUCCAUUGAUAUUUCCCAAAACUUUUUUUACUCUCUGUUUCCAACCAUAUAAACACACACACAUAUAUAACUUUCAAAGUUUUGAAAGGACGGAGGGAUAUUUGAAAAACGAGAUGAACUCAAGAGGAUUGGGGAAGUCGAAGCUUGUGCGGAGGACGAUGGUGUGUUACUAGAGUAGUUCUAAGAAGGUGGUUCCUUCGCACAGAAGGUGUAGCAUAUCCACUAUGGUGGCCAUAUCUCGACCAGAUGAAGGUACCAAUACCACGUUUUGGGAUUAUCCCACGAAACACGUUAUAUAUGAAAUAGCUCUAUUCCUAGAUGAAAGAGUUAACUAGUUGGAUUCCUUCUGCCAUGGAGAAGAAAUUUUUCAAUUCUUGAAACAACGGCAGAAUUGGUGAGGAGAUGGCUAGUAAAAGCACUGGAUUGGUUGCACCUUGUCAUGAGAAAGAGUUUGCAACCACGUUUUAUUUUCCAGAUCGGUACAAAGUUUCAAAAUCAUAUCCUUAAAAUUUUAGUUUUAACGUUUUGUUUUGGGAUUUGAAUCUUUUUAGAUAAUAAGGUGUUCAAACUUUUUUGAUCUGUAUACAUCUUGAAAUGUUGGCUCAAUAAAUACUGAUGUCAUUUUUUCAUUUAUUCUUUUUUGCAUACAUUUAAUAUACAUAAAUUGGGAUGCUUGGAAGCGUGUGCACUUCUUCUUACUGAAAAACGAAAGAGGAUGAUCGUCUUGGCUGAGCACGACUCUACUACCACUUGGAUGCAUUUGUUUCUACAAUAAAGAAUUUGGAGAAGUCCAAAAAAUGUAAUGUAGGUAUUUUGGAUAACUGUAUUCUGUAAAAGUUUGUUGGCAAAAAUAGAAGCUUCUGGCAGGUCAUUUGAAGGAGGUGUUAUGGCUAUUAUAGAUGAUAGGUGGUUGUACUUUGUCGACUACCUUGUUACGGGUGUGACAAUAGAUACACAUCUAUUUGUGUGUACAAUUAGAUACAUGCACUUCGUGGGGCAGGGCAAGAUUGGUUGUUUGUAUUACCACAUUGUCAAUUGCAUGGUCCGGAUGAUUGCAAGACACAACCUUUUGUGUCUCGUUACACUGACUCCAAUGAAUAUAAUUGUUAAGCUCUAACAACAUCAUUAAUUACUACAUUUCAAUUUUGGUCCUCUUUGUGAUCUCUUAUAUGCACACCUAGCAUUCUACACUUGCCAAAUUUUCGUGACAUUGCCUUUAUUGUACCCUCUCAAAGUAUGUAAUAUGUUUGUUGGCUUCACUAAUUAGUGGCCUUUCACUCAUCUUGGUGGCUACCACACUCCAAGUGGCGUGAACCACUCUCACAACCACUCCAUAAGCUACUCUUCUUCAACUUUUUUCAAUUCAUUUCCAUUUCAUAUAUGUCUUUCUCUUGAAUUCUUGCUUUUGAUUUUGCUUUGAUUAUAUGCUUAUGAUUUAUUAUUUGGUUCGGCCAUGACCACUAUUGAUGUUUAUCUUAUUGUUAUUUUUAUUGCACAUUGCAUUCCAUCUAUCACUUUGUAUUGAUUUUCAUCUUUGUCUUUGUGAAGUGAACCUUCACACUUACUUAACCAUUUAGUUAAGUUCAUGUCCAGUGGAAAUCUUUCUUAGGUUUUCACCAUAAAUUGCUAAAAUCCCAACUCUAAGUAAAGUGUCACCAUAAAAUGAAACCAUCUAAAAAUCAACUCAUAUCAUGUGGUUAUCAGAGUUUAGGUUCUUGAGCUUAUUUUGCUUAGUUGAUUUGACACUUUACUUUUCUUAUACCUUUAUUUCCUUGUCUUUACAUUCAAGCACCUUUAAUUUCUUAUCCUUACAUUCAAACACAUUUAAUUUCAACCCUUUAUUUUCUUACUUGUCAAUUCGACAUUUAUCUUAUCAAUUAGCUUUAUUUUUGCUUUUGAAUUAUAAAUUGUGUCUUCUUUUGUUAUUGUCAUUUUCACCUUAAGUCAUAUGUUCUUUAUUUUUUUUAGGAGUCCUUAUAUUUUGCUUCUACUUACUUUGCUUUUAAUUGUGAAAUUUUAAAAAUAAUUAAAAAUUUGUUUUAGUAGAAGUAGAUUUAAGUUCCAAACAAAAGAUUUUAAGUGAUAAAUUAAAUUGAAUCCCAAACUUUUGUACUAAUUGAUGGUCUAUGAAAAUAUGCAUGAUCAAAACUAUGGAUAUCUCAUUCCAUAAUCAAAAAACAAGUUUAUAUAUAUAUAUAUAUAUAUAAAAAGAGAAGUGGUGCAAGCUUUUGGUUCCAAUCUCUUCAAAUAGAGACAUUUCAUAAAGUAGGUUCGUUUUAAUUAGCAAAUUAAUUUCAACAUUGUGAAAAUUUUAUCCUUUUGCUUUAACAAUUUCUAGAGAAAGAAAAACUUAAUUGUUAAAAGUUUAGUAAGUAUCUUAGAGUCUUUUUGUGUGUCUUUUUUACUUGUAUUUCUGUAAAAAAACUUGUCAUACAUCUUUUCUCAAACUUGGUUUAACUUUCUUGUUUUGUACUUUUCUUGUUUGUCUUUUUAAAUUUCCUUAUGUUUUGUUGUGGUCUUAUUGAGAUCAAGUGAUAAGGUUUUUUUUUUUUCAUUUGAGAAAUUUUAACACUAAGAUAGACCUUUGUUGAGGAAAAAAAAUUCUUUUUGAGUGCUUUAUGUCUUUUUCUCUUUGUUUUACACAAGAGUGAUGCAAGAUUGAGGGAGAGUGAUCUAACUUUUUUUCACUAAUUGUUUGCUCAUUCUUUGUAUUUUAUGGCUCAUCUUUCUUCAGAAAAAUCAUCAAAACCUCAAUCUCCCCAAAAGGCUUUCCUUAUAGGUGAGUUGGCGGCAGCAAAAAGGUCCUAGCACAAAAGGAGGAAAAGAUGAGACAAUUGGAAGAGAGACUCCAAAGGCUUGAAAUCGCACAAGUAAGACAAACAAGAAGGUGGGAGCAUAAGAGAGCUACAAGGAGUUUCACUCAAUAGGAAACCAUGAGGAAGAUGAAGAUUGGAGAAUGAAUCAAUUUGAUAAAAGGCGCAAACAUCAACACCAUCCUUCUAAAAUUUCUUUUCUUUAUGUAAAAUUGUCUAGUUUUAGUGGGGAAAGUGACCCCAACAUUUACUUAGGAUGUGAGGUUAAGGUAGAGCAAAUCUUUAAUAUACAUGAGGUCCAAGAGAAGGUAAAAUUAGCCUCCUUAAAAAUUUUAGAUGCAGUGGUUGCAUAAGACUUAAUGGACAUUGUGCUAAACAAGAGGCCAACCGUGGUCUUUUUAUAUGAUUUGAAAAAAUGCAUGCAUGCGAUGUUCGUUCCUUCUACUAUAGUAAGAAACUCUUGUUGAAGCUCCAACGACUUCAACAAGGACCUAGUAGUGAAGAUGAGUACUUUAAAGAGCUUGAAACAAUUUUAACUAAAAUUGACAUGCAUGAAAGUGAGGAGUCCAAAAUUGCUAGAAUUGUAAGUGGAUUGAGAAGGAAAAUCCAAGAUGUGGUAGAACUUUAUGAAUAAUCAUCAUUGAAAAAAUUGCUUCACCUUGCCAUCACGGUUGAAUCUCAACUUUCAAAGAAAACUAAUUAAAAAAACUCUCACAAUGAUGACUACUACCAAUCAUCUUGAAAAAACAUAAACAAAUCUUCUUAGAAAACUUUUUCUUCAAAUUUUGUAAAAAAUUCCACUUACAAUUCUAGAAACUUUAAACCCUCAACUUUUACACCUAAGUCAUUCAUCAAAACCUUAAGUCAAAAAUGUUUUAAAUAUUUGGGUUUUGGGCACAUUACAGCCAAUUGUCCUUCUAAAAGAAAUUUGAUGGCUAAAGGAAGGGUUGUCAUGAGUGACCAUAACUCACAAAGGUCUGGGUCCCCUAUCUCUUUUUAGAUUCCCAAGUGAAGAAUGAAAUUCUAUGUGGAGGAGACUUAUUAGUAAUGAGGCACAUGCUAGACCAAGUUUUAAAGCCUUUUGAUGAAAGUCAAAGGGAAAACAUUUUCCACACUAAGUGCCUCAUUAAUGAUAAGUUAUGUUCCUUAAUUGUGGAUGGAGGAAGUUAUGCAAAUGUGGAAAACACAAUAGUGGUGAAAAACUUAGAUUAUCCACCAUCUCUCAUGCAAAGCCCUACAAGCUCCAAUGACUAAGUGAAAAAGGGGAAAUAAUAAUAAAUAAACAAGUCCUCAUAGCCUUCUCAAUUUGUAAAUACAAGGAUGAGAUCCUGUGUGAUGUUAUACCUAUGGAAGCCACACACAUUCUUUUAGGUAAACUAUGACAAUUUGAUAGAAAAUCAAUUGAUUAUGAGAAAUAAAAAUAGUUUCUUUGGUUAGAAAAUCAUCGAUUAUUCAAAUUGAAAAUGACAAACAUAAUAUAAGGAGUUUAUAAAUGUUAAGGAAAAGCUCAUGAAAAUAUCAAAGGAUAUGAUAAAAGUGUCAAAUGCAAGAAACAAAGAUAGAAUAGCUAAAAUAUGACAUCAAAUGCAUAUUGAGCUUAAAAUAAUGCAAUUAUUGUCAAAUAGUUACAACAUAAUUAGGUAAUGACAAGCAGGAUAAGAACCUCUGUCAAUCCCAAUUAUUUUUAGUUAGAUAGGCAAUUGAAUUCAUUGUGACCAAUUGGUCAUCAAAUGCACGGUAGAAAGCCUCAUAAAAUCCAUUCCUAAAAUUAUAGGGUUAAUAAAAUUAAUAUUAUCUUCUUGACAAUUACAAAAAAAAAAUAUGUUAUUUAUGAGUAGGUACCGAUCUUUCUUAAGAGUAUGUUGAUCCAUCUCAUCAAAUUUCUGAGUAAGAACUUCAACCCCAAGAGAAAGCAACUAGGCAACAACCUAAAGUUAGGUUCCACUUGGAUCCUU
Molecule: long non-coding RNA, 13263 nt
Filed under: Phaseolus vulgaris (common bean)
Lineage: Eukaryota; Viridiplantae; Streptophyta; Magnoliopsida; Fabales; Fabaceae
Description: long non-coding RNA (PVUL_LNC002607)
Source: RNAcentral